This 355-nucleotide ribosomal RNA is filed under the name uncultured bacterium. RNAcentral's name for it is "bacterial SSU rRNA". It matches the Rfam family "Bacterial small subunit ribosomal RNA", at positions 1 to 334 of the family's 1533-position model. The record is from RNAcentral.
CUAGCGACUUCAGAGUUUGAUCCUGGCUCAGGACGAACGCUGGCGGCGUGCCUAACACAUGCAAGUCGAACGAAGCAUUUGAUUGGAUCUCUUCGGAGUGAAGCUCUUAUGACUUAGUGGCGGACGGGUGAGUAACGCGUGAGUAACCUGCCUUUCAGAGGGGGAUAACAGUUGGAAACGACUGCUAAUACCGCAUAACGUGACGAGAUCGCAUGAUCUUGUUACCAAAGCUGAGGCGCUGAAAGAUGGACUCGCGUCUGAUUAGAUAGUUGGUGAGGUAACGGCUCACCAAGUCGACGAUCAGUAGCCGGACUGAGAGGUUGAACGGCCACAUUGGGACUGAGACACGGCCCAG